GACGAACGCUGGCGGCGUGCUUAACACAUGCAAGUCGAACGGAAAGGCCCUGCUUGCCGGGUACUCGAGUGGCGAACGGGUGAGUAACACGUGGGUGAUCUGCCCUGCACUUCGGGAUAAGCCUGGGAAACUGGGUCUAAUACCGGAUAGGAGCCAUUUUUAGUGUGAUGGUUGGAAAGUUUUUUCGGUGUAGGAUGAGCUCGCGGCCUAUCAGCUUGUUGGUGGGGUAAUGGCCUACCAAGGCGGCGACGGGUAGCCGGCCUGAGAGGGUGGACGGCCACAUUGGGACUGAGAUACGGCCCAGACGCCUACGGGAGGCAGCAGGGGGGAAUAUUGCACAAUGGGCGCAAGCCUGAUGCAGCGACGCCGCGGGGGGGAUGACGGCCUUCGGGUUGUAAACUCCUUUCGCUAGGGACGAAGCUUUUUGUGACGGUACCUAGAUAAGAAGCACCGGCUAACUACGUG
This 465-nucleotide ribosomal RNA is filed under the name uncultured bacterium. RNAcentral describes it as "partial 16S ribosomal RNA". It matches the Rfam family "Bacterial small subunit ribosomal RNA", at positions 28 to 507 of the family's 1533-position model. The record is from RNAcentral.